AGAAGUGCUUGUUUCCUCUUCGCUUUUCACCACGAAUAUUUUUCCUGAGGCCUCCCAGUCAUGCUUCCCGUUAUGCCUGCAGAACUGCAUUUAUGAAGUAGGGACCUGGAAUUGAAUAGACUCCUAAAGGAGAGACAGAAGUUUGAAAGAGCAAGAUGAGUGGAUGUGAAUCCAGACAUAAAAAGAGAACAGCAAAUAUUUGAAAGAGUUUAAGACAUACUCCUCAAGGGGUUUCUCCUUUUGCUUCUUUCUCAUUUCUCUUGCUGCCACCAUGUAAGAGGUGCCUUUUGCCUCCUGCCAUGAUUCUGAGGCCAUGUGGAACUGUACCACAGAUAGAAGCCUCGAGAAGCUUACUUUGGUGAGAAAUUUUGCCUUUCUCUGCAGGCUUCUACCAGUUCGAUUCCAUCUGUGGGUCUUAGUUUUCAGUUACCUGCAGUCAAAUGUGGUCCAAUAUACAGACUGGAAUAAGAGACACUGGAGACUCCAAAAGAAUAUUUUCUGGUAGACUGAUACAUUUCUCCUAAAAAAUUUGGAAAAAUUUUGUGAUGAAGAAGCUACCUGGGCCUGAAGAUAUCUUUUCUGGACAAAGUAAAUGAAUGAUUGAAGACCUGCAAAUUGUGUUUGUAACGACUUUCUAAGAUUGAUAGCCUCCAUGUUUCAAUGCUCAUGGAGCAGAUGGAUAUGACUGACACUGCCCUUAAUACUACAGCAUGAUCCAAAGCAUCACCAAAGUCUUCAAAGAGAAAGUAAAAAAAAAAAAAAAAAAAAAAAAAAAAGCC
RNAcentral lists this long non-coding RNA (779 nucleotides) under Pongo abelii (Sumatran orangutan). RNAcentral's name for it is "lincRNA". The record is from RNAcentral. Lineage: Eukaryota; Metazoa; Chordata; Mammalia; Primates; Hominidae.